Vicugna pacos (alpaca) is the source of this 764-nucleotide non-coding RNA. The record is from RefSeq and is a predicted model, not a curated record. NCBI's taxonomy places the organism in Eukaryota, Metazoa, Chordata, Mammalia, Artiodactyla, Camelidae.
GUGAAAUGGGGAAAUAGUACGCCCCAUAUAGGCUUGCAGUGAGAAUGGAGGGAGGUAACAGAUAUAAAGGAGGCGAGGGCUGUGAAAUGCGCGUGGGCUUUGCAGUGAGACAGACGGGCUCUGAGUCCUGCUUCAUCCCUUACUAACUGGGCCAUCUUGGGCAAGUCACUUGCGUUCUACAGUACCUGAAAUUUUUACUGUUUGCCACUUCUCUGGAGCUAUAAUUAAAAACCACCUUUUACAUCUAUGUGGGUCAUCUAAGAGAAGCAGUAUUACCGGUCACAAUACACCAGUAGAGGCUUGCCUGAUACCAGUUUAACUAACUGGAACACAUUCUUGAGAUACGAAGAAUGAGAAAAAUAACCUUUAAGUGUUUAACACCCACCAGAGGAGCUGCAGUUACCUCAGUGUGGAGCCCGAGACCCUACUCCAGCCUCGCGGUGAUUCUUUCUUCUCAUGGGAAGCAGAUGGAAUUAACAGACCAUCCCUAAUUGUUGUUCCUAAACAAGGUACUGCAAGAUUCAUCAACCUCUUCCCAGAAGCCAGGCUAUACAUCAGACACAAGGGUCAGGAUUUUUUACAACUCCACCAUUAAAAGCCCCUCUUUAUGGAAAAACCGUAUGCUUGUAUGUUUUCAUGUUUCUAAGAGGACAGAAAUAAACUUGGCCCUUGGUGACCCAAAUGAAGUAGAGGAUAUCUCCAUGAGCCCACAGUAACUGCUCUGAGCAGAGUAGUGGAGCGAAAAACAAUCUAACUCCUUGGAA